RNAcentral lists this ribosomal RNA (415 nucleotides) under uncultured archaeon. RNAcentral describes it as "partial 16S ribosomal RNA". It matches the Rfam family "Archaeal small subunit ribosomal RNA", at positions 330 to 747 of the family's 1478-position model. The record is from RNAcentral.
GUGCAGCAGUCGCGAAAACUCCGCAAUGCACGAAAGUGCGACGGGGUUACCUCGAGUGCCGCCUGAUGAAGGCGGCUUUUCCACAGUGUAAGGAGCUGUGGGAAUAAGAGGGGGGCAAGACUGGUGUCAGCCGCCGCGGUAAUACCAGCUCCUCGAGUGGUCGGGACGAUUAUUGGGCCUAAAGCAUCCGUAGCCGGUUCUGUAGGUCUCCUGUCAAAUUCAACGGCUCAACCGUUGAGCUGCAGGAGAUACCGCAGGGCUAGGAGGCGGGAGAGGUGGACGAUACUCUAUGGGUAGGAGUGAAAUCCUCUGAUCCCGGGAGGACCUGCAGUGGCGAAGGCGGGUAGCCAGAACGCGCUCGACGGUGAGGGGCGAAAGCUGGGGGAGCGAACCGGAUUAGAUACCCGGGUAGUCC